CCCUGUUUGACCUCUAGGUUUUAUGGGUAUUAUGACUCAUACUGUGGUACUCUAUAGUCCACUCAGUAACAGUUGUCACUACUCUCUAGGACAGGGCUCUCCAAACUUGUUCCUGGAGCGGUACCCUUCUGUAGGUCUUCGCUCCAACCCCAGUUGUAACUAACCUGAUUCAGCUUAUCAACCAGCUAAUUAUUAGAAUCAGGUGUGCUAGAUUAGGGUGGCUGCAGCUGUGAGGUGGAACUGACUCUAGUCAACCUGUUUGAAAAUGAUCAGGACACCGCAAGUGCCCUUGAAAGCCAUCAACCGAAAAUCAGUAUGUGCUUACACUUUACGAGCUGCGGCGUUGCAUUUUACUCCGGGUUUGCUCCGAUUUCCUCUGACUUCCUCUGAAAUACGCCAGGAGCUGAUCAAGAGCCCAUAGAUCGGGUUAGAAAUGUGCAGUGUCCGCCUGUCUUUAGAAGUAGGCCUUAUAUUACAAUUGGAAACUAAUGCCGCGUUCACGUCAUGUCGGAUUGAUCUGAGGAACAACUUGGAGUGCUCGGAAGGAAUACAAGCACCAUUCUCACCAUUGACAGCCGAAAUCGCGGCCAUGUUUGUUGCCAUUUGCAGUGGUGCGUAACGUCAGAGUUCAGAAUGUGGGUCCAGAGAUCAUACCCGAGUUUCCUAGUUGUAAUUACGAGUUGGGGUGUUCACAUGCAUUUUUCCCAGUAGGAAGGUCGUAUUUAUGAGUUCCGGACAUGAUGUGAACGCGGCAUAAGAUGCCUGCUCCUUUAUAGGAGACUCAACUGUAGCACCACCAUGCUCAGAGACAGUUUCUACUGUCAAGCCAUGAAAGGUUCUACAUGGUCAAUCGGACGUCUGAAGUGGCCGUACAGCAUUUACUGCGAUGCAGCCUCCACAGACGUCAGGGCUUUCAUACUUCUUGCGCUUAGCAGAGCUAUUGUGAAGGAAGUUGUCAAGGAAGUGAGUUUGUGUUUAUACAAGACGUACCGCCCCAUCCUACCGUCAACCAAUCAUGUCAAUGCGGAACUAUACGGCGCCCUCUGCAUUGUUGCAAAAUUUGAGAGUCACACGCCAAUGCGGUAUGGAGCAUGAUUUGGCCUCUGCACGCCUCCGGAGGCUCUGCAACUGUGUCACACCCUCCAUACGUAGCCUCCGAUCACAUUUUCAGAUCAAGCAUACAUUUGCGUUUAGACUGUUGAAUAGAUUACACAUGACUCUAUGCUGCUAUGGUACUUACUGCACUGUACUUAAUAUAGUGUAGUUAUCUACUUAUUUCUUAUUGCACACUACACUGUAUUCCUGCACAAAUGACAACUUUUGAUUUUGAUUUCAUUUGAUCUAGUUUACUGUAAACCUGUUCACUUUGUUAUGAUGAGACAUGCAUCUCACUAACAUUGGAUGUAUUGUUUAGCAAUGCAAUAUAAGAAAUGGAAUGUCCUCAUUUCAGGAAGAGCUCAUGACGUCGGGCUGCAGUUCUGCAGCUUUGAGCUGGAACCUGUCACCCUGAUCCGCCACAGACUCUGGCCUGCCACCGCCCAUCAGCUGCAAACGGAAGUUUCAGUGGACCUCCUGCGCCAGUUUGCAGCCCUGCAGAUGGAGUGUGGGGUGUCUUUCAGGGGGAUUACCGUAGCUUUCCACAAAGCCAAUUCAUGCUGGAAGGCAGUUCUUGUAUUUUAAAUUGGAAAUCAAACCAUAUACAAUGUAAGUGUUUUCUAUAAGGAGUAGUUUUUCAUUCUCCAGACAGUUGAGCUCUACAGGAAGCUCACAAAUGAUUCAUUUGAGGAGUUCAAACACUUGCAGUUUGAACGAGAGACUGUCAGGAAGUUGGUACCACAGACCUCUGAUGGAAUAAAGGGACAAUCUCAAUUGCAUCCUCUUUAACCUGUCUGCUCCCCUUCAUCUACACUGAUUGAAGUGGAUUUAACAAGUGACAUCAAUAAGGGAUCAUAGCUUUCACCUGGUCAGUUGAUGUCAUGGAAAGAGCAGGUGUUCCUAAUGUUUUGUACAGUCAGUGUAUAAAGUCUCAGUAAGCUAAGAUUCUUAUUUGUCCUAAAAUAUUAUGAAUUCAAUGUUGUUCACAAUUGAUAAGGGAAAAUAUUUAGUCAUUUAGCGACAGUCUCUCAUCCAGUGCGACUUACAAUUAGUGCUUUCAUCUUAAAUGGACAUUUCAAAAAAGGUCUACUUCAUAUUCAUCAUCUCCAUCACCACCCCAACAUCAGUGUAUGUGAAAAUGGUGUGUUUCUAUGUUUUGUAGUUAAAAAGAUAAAGAUAAGCUUUUCCAAUGACAUCAUCAACCAAUUAGUAGGCAAUGCCUACUCACAAUUGGUCAAAAUCACACAAUGCACACUGAUGAUGUCCCUUUAAGAUAGCCAGGUGAGACAACCACAUAUCACAGUCAUAGUAAGUCGUAGUCAUUUUCCCUCAAAGUAGUUGGUUGGCUUUUUUAUCUAUCUUAUAUCAUUGCCUUGCCAAACAGUUGUAAUUUUAUGCUUCAAUACAAGCCGCUCAAAAAUCCAACCCCUCGUCCAUGACCUGGGAGGCGGAAACAGGUAAUGUACUGGAUUGCCAGACACUGUAUCACAAAUUGUUUUGUAUAAUUAAUUAUUUGCAUUUUUGUUUGAAAGGAAAACGGUCAUCAAAUUAUUGCAGCUGUUGGGCUCGCCAGGAAAAGAUUGUCUGGGACCAGCAUUGAGGUUCCCAAACAUGUGGGCGGUUCUUUUGUGACCAGGACAAAGUCAACUGCUUUGUAGGAGGAGCACCAGGCACCAACUGAGGUCACCGAUGGUACCAGGUAUGUGACUGGUAGCAGGCUUGCUGAUGACACAUCUCGUCGUGUUGACACCCUCACUGAUGCCCUCCUCUAUUACGCAGCCAGGGUCAAGGCAAGUCUGCUGACCAUCACCGAGGCCAGGAAGCAGUCCGGCAGCCGAAGUAGGAGCCAAGUUCAUCGCCAUGCAACACUCUACUGACUGAGAUGCCACGUGGUCUCCCAUCUCCUACAUAGUGGCCUCAGCUGGACCCCACCGCAUAACCUCUUGGUUUAGCAAGAAAACUCAAGAUGAUGGAGAGGAAGAACAGCAUCCUCCACCAGCAGUCGCUGCAGAGUAACAGAUUGAGGACCAAUCUGGAGGGAACCUUCAGUCUGGUGCUAGAACGGAGGUUCCUCUGUGGCCUGAUGAGAAAAUAUGCAGAUUGUAUUCAACAAUAAGAACAAGUCAACUCAUAUCAGUUCUAUGAUAUUUCUGGCAAUAGAUGGUCAAGGUAUUGCCAACCGCCUGUCCAAAAGGCAUGCAACGGUCGGUAGUAGCAUAAAGAAAAAUGUGAAGGACUACAACCUGAGGAGACAAGGUUUGUCCUCACAGCUCCCACAGACCCUGGUGUAUGAGGAUGCAGUGCAGGUGGACAUCACUGUUUGGUCCUGGAGAGAAGGAGGAGCAGAGGAUGAUGGGAGUUUCACCUCAAGGCUCUUUGUGCUCCAUUCCCUCAGAGAGCGGGUGUGUGAAGAGAAGCGGUACAUUGAGGAUGAUGUCUUCACUGCCAAGAAGUUCUACUUACAUGAGCAGGAACUGAUUGUGGAGGCCUUACAACAUUACACAAAGCAAGAUCGAUUUUGUCUUGGGGCACGAGCUGUCCUUGCUGGAAAGCUUGAUGAGCACCAGCAUGCAGAAGGACAAUGUGAAUUGUUCAGAAGGGCUUUUAUUGAGGGCAGUGGCAGAAACUUUGAAGUGCAGGACAUCGAGGAAGUCUAUUUGUUGUUUGUUUCUUGUUUUUUUUAACAUGUCCAUUCAAUUUUUAUUUAUGCCAUUGUAUUCCUGCCCUUUGUUUACAAUUGUAUGUUUUAUUGCUCUUUUGGGGUUAAAAGAAGCACUAUAUGCAUCUGUGGACAUUUCUGUUUAAUUGUUCGAUGCGAUACACACCAUCGUUGCAUGUCAUUUACUAUUUAUGUCAUGGUGAGGAGAACCAGACAUGAGCCUGGUAUACCCCAACCUGAGUCUAAUGGAAUAGACAGGUUUGCUUCGUCCAAAGUAUUGUCUUUUCAUUGACCUGUUAGUUGUGGAGUUUGU
This is a long non-coding RNA of Coregonus clupeaformis (lake whitefish), 4067 nucleotides long. RefSeq lists it as uncharacterized. Lineage: Eukaryota; Metazoa; Chordata; Actinopteri; Salmoniformes; Salmonidae. The record is from RefSeq and is a predicted model, not a curated record. The transcript has 6 exons.